RNAcentral lists this small nuclear RNA (184 nucleotides) under Octodon degus (degu). RNAcentral describes it as "7SK RNA (ENSODEG00000022503.1)". It matches the Rfam family "7SK RNA", at positions 1 to 290 of the family's 331-position model. From Rfam's summary of the family: 7SK was discovered as an abundant small nuclear RNA in the mid-70s but a possible function has only recently been suggested. Two independent studies have found that 7SK RNA binds the CDK9/cyclin T complex (known as elongation factor P-TEFb). Lineage: Eukaryota; Metazoa; Chordata; Mammalia; Rodentia; Octodontidae. The record is from Rfam by way of RNAcentral.
UGAAAGAAGGAAAGGCAAUGUGCAUCCCUCCCGAAGCUGCGAGCUCCGUAGAAAAGGAUGAGCACCCCUGACAGGGAGGACCGAACCUCAGCCAAGGGUGGAGGAGUGGCUGCGCUCCCCUGCUAGACCCUCCAAACAAGCUCUCAAGAAGGCAAGGCCAAUUAAUCCUGUAUGGCUGAAACUU